This 253-nucleotide ribosomal RNA is filed under the name uncultured bacterium. Its description in RNAcentral is "partial 16S ribosomal RNA". It matches the Rfam family "Bacterial small subunit ribosomal RNA", at positions 524 to 776 of the family's 1533-position model. The record is from RNAcentral.
UACGUAGGGCGCAAGCGUUGUCCGGAAUUAUUGGGCGUAAAGAGCUCGUAGGCGGCUUGUCACGUCGGGUGUGAAAGCCCGGGGCUUAACCCCGGGUCUGCAUUCGAUACGGGCUAGCUAGAGUGUGGUAGGGGAGACUGGAAUUCCUGGUGUAGCGGUGAAAUGCGCAGAUAUCAGGAGGAACACCGGUGGCGAAGGCGGGUCUCUGGACCGAUACUGACGCUGAGGAGCGAAAGCGUGGGGAGCGAACAGG